UUUGCGGUGCUGCUAGAGAGAGGGAAAUACCUGGCUCCAUUUCGAACCCAGAAGUCAAGCCUCUCAUCGCCGAUGAUACUCUACCCGACGGGUACGGAAAAGUAGGUCAGUGCC
RNAcentral lists this ribosomal RNA (114 nucleotides) under Sulfurovum sp. FS08-3. Lineage: Bacteria; Pseudomonadati; Campylobacterota; Epsilonproteobacteria; Campylobacterales; Sulfurovaceae. The record is from RNAcentral.